GCUCCCGUAGUGUAGCGGCCAAUCAUCACGGCCUCUCGAGCCGUAGACUCGGGUUCAAAUCCCGACGGGAGCA
RNAcentral lists this transfer RNA (73 nucleotides) under Thermoplasmatales archaeon. RNAcentral's name for it is "tRNA-Glu". It matches the Rfam family "tRNA". Rfam says of the family: Transfer RNA (tRNA) molecules are approximately 80 nucleotides in length. Lineage: Archaea; Methanobacteriati; Thermoplasmatota; Thermoplasmata; Thermoplasmatales. The record is from RNAcentral. RNAcentral also lists the same sequence under 1 other name.